RNAcentral lists this ribosomal RNA (304 nucleotides) under uncultured Synergistaceae bacterium. Its description in RNAcentral is "bacterial SSU rRNA". It matches the Rfam family "Bacterial small subunit ribosomal RNA", at positions 1082 to 1382 of the family's 1533-position model. The record is from RNAcentral. Lineage: Bacteria; Thermotogati; Synergistota; Synergistia; Synergistales; Synergistaceae.
AAGUCCCGCAACGAGCGCAACCCCUGCAUUCACGGUUGCCAUCGGGUAAUGCCGGGCACUCUGGAAGGACUGCCAUCGACAAGAUGGAGGAAGGUGGGGAUGACGUCAAGUCAUCAUGGCCCUUAUGUCCAGGGCGACACACGUGCUACAAUGGCCGGCACAACGGGAAGCGAGUUCGCGAGGACGAGCGGAUCCCUCAAAGCCGGUCGCAGUUCGGAUUGAAGUCUGCAACUCGACUUCAUGAAGCUGGAAUCGCUAGUAAUCGUGGAUCAGCCAAGCCGCGGUGAAUACGUUCCCGGGCCUU